This 253-nucleotide ribosomal RNA is filed under the name uncultured bacterium. Its description in RNAcentral is "partial 16S ribosomal RNA". It matches the Rfam family "Bacterial small subunit ribosomal RNA", at positions 524 to 776 of the family's 1533-position model. The record is from RNAcentral.
UACGGAGGGUGCAAGCGUUAUCCGGAUUCACUGGGGUUAAAGGGUGCGUAGGCGGGCAUUUAAGUCAGUGGUGAAAUACCUGAGCUUAACUUGGGAACUGCCAUUGAUACUAUUUGUCUUGAAUGUCGUGGAGGUUAGCGGAAUAUGUCAUGUAGCGGUGAAAUGCUUAGAUAUGACAUAGAACACCUAUCGCGAAGGCAGCUAACUACGCGAAUAUUGACGCUGAGGCACGAAAGCGUGGGGAUCAAACAGG